Molecule: ribosomal RNA, 253 nt
Filed under: uncultured bacterium
Lineage: Bacteria
Description: partial 16S ribosomal RNA
Rfam family: Bacterial small subunit ribosomal RNA
Source: RNAcentral
UACAGAGGUCUCAAGCGUUGUUCGGAUUCAUUGGGCGUAAAGGGUGUGUAGGUGGCGCGCUAAGUCGGGUGUGAAAUUUCGGAGCUUAACUCCGAAACUGCAUUCGAUACUGGCGUGCUUGAGGACUGGAGAGGAGACUGGAAUUCAUGGUGUAGCAGUGAAAUGCGUAGAGAUCCGGAGGAACACCAGUGGCGAAGGCGACACGCUGGGCCGGAACUGACGCUGAGGUGCGAAAGCGUGGGGAGCAAACAGG